Molecule: long non-coding RNA, 216 nt
Filed under: Olea europaea (common olive)
Lineage: Eukaryota; Viridiplantae; Streptophyta; Magnoliopsida; Lamiales; Oleaceae
Description: long non-coding RNA (OEUR_LNC014905)
Source: RNAcentral
GAUUUUGUCUGGAUUGAAUUGAUGGUACAAUAUGUGCUUGUGCAUUUGGAUGGAUCUUGAAGGAAUUUGUCCUCUGGAGUGAAAAUCAACCUUUGCUUUUGAUGUAUUUGUAUUCUUUUCUAUAUAUUCUAUAUGGGCUUCUUUUAAUGGAGUUGUUGCUUGGUUCGAAUGUUGAUAAGUUUGUAUGUUUCCCUUUCUACUUCAGCAAUUAUACUG